UACGUAGGUGACCAGCGUUGUCCGGAUUUACUGGGCGUAAAGAGCGCGCAGGCGGUCGUUCAAGUCGAGUGUGAAAGCCCCCGGCUCAACUGGGGAGGGUCAUUCGAUACUGAUCGACUUGAAGGCAGGAGAGGGAAGUGGAAUUCCCGGUGUAGUGGUGAAAUGCGUAGAUAUCGGGAGGAACACCAGUGGCGAAGGCGACUUCCUGGUCUGCAACUGACGCUGUGGCGCGAAAGCUAGGGGAGCAAACGGG
Molecule: ribosomal RNA, 253 nt
Filed under: uncultured bacterium
Lineage: Bacteria
Description: partial 16S ribosomal RNA
Rfam family: Bacterial small subunit ribosomal RNA
Source: RNAcentral